This 253-nucleotide ribosomal RNA is filed under the name uncultured bacterium. RNAcentral's name for it is "partial 16S ribosomal RNA". It matches the Rfam family "Bacterial small subunit ribosomal RNA", at positions 524 to 776 of the family's 1533-position model. The record is from RNAcentral.
UACAGAGGGUGCAAGCGUUAAUCGGAAUUACUGGGCGUAAAGCGUGCGUAGACGGUUACGUAAGUCGGGUGUGAAAGCCCCGGGCUCAGCCUGGGAAUUGCAUUCGAGACUGCAUAGCUAGGGUGCGGAAGAGGGAAGCGGAAUUUCCGGUGUAGCGGUGAAAUGCGUAGAUAUCGGAAGGAACACCAGUGGCGAAAGCGGCUUCCUGGUCCAGCACCGACGUUCAGGCACGAAAGCGUGGGGAGCAAACAGG